Molecule: small RNA, 80 nt
Filed under: Flavobacterium collinsii
Lineage: Bacteria; Pseudomonadati; Bacteroidota; Flavobacteriia; Flavobacteriales; Flavobacteriaceae
Description: Flavo-1
Rfam family: Flavo-1 RNA
Source: RNAcentral
UUUUGGGUUAGGGAUAGGAGCGACAUCCUUUUGCUUUUUUCUUUAAAAAGCAAAAGAUACAGCGGAUAGCCCGGUUCGCC